AUUGAACGCUGGCUGCAGGCUUAACACAUGCAAGUCGAGCGGGGUGAUGGUGCUUGCACUAUCACUUAGCGGCGGACGGGUGAGUAAUGCUUAGGAAUCUGCCUAUUAGUGGGGGACAACAUCUCGAAAGGGAUGCUAAUACCGCAUACGUCCUACGGGAGAAAGCAGGGGAUCACUUGUGACCUUGCGCUAAUAGAUGAGCCUAAGUCGGAUUAGCUAGUUGGUGGGGUAAAGGCCUACCAAGGCAGCGAUCUGUAGCGGGGCUGAGAGGAUGAUCCGCCACACUGGGACUGAGACACGGCCCAGACUCCUACGGGAGGCAGCAGUGGGGAAUAUUGGACAAUGGGGGGAACCCUGAUACAGCCAUGCCGCGUGUGUGAAGAAGGCCUUAUGGUUGUAAAGCACUUUAAGCGAGGAGGAGGCUCUUUUGGUUAAUACCCAAGAUGAGUGGACGUUACUCGCAGAAUAAGCACCGGCUAACUCUGUGCCAGCCGCCGCGGUAA
This 503-nucleotide ribosomal RNA is filed under the name uncultured bacterium. Its description in RNAcentral is "partial 16S ribosomal RNA". It matches the Rfam family "Bacterial small subunit ribosomal RNA", at positions 30 to 523 of the family's 1533-position model. The record is from RNAcentral.